This 127-nucleotide transfer RNA is filed under the name Enterobacteriaceae bacterium. RNAcentral's name for it is "tRNA-OTHER". It matches the Rfam family "tRNA". Rfam says of the family: Transfer RNA (tRNA) molecules are approximately 80 nucleotides in length. Their secondary structure includes four short double-helical elements and three loops (D, anti-codon, and T loops). Further hydrogen bonds mediate the characteristic L-shaped molecular structure. tRNAs have two regions of fundamental functional importance: the anti-codon, which is responsible for specific mRNA codon recognition, and the 3' end, to which the tRNAs corresponding amino acid is attached (by aminoacyl-tRNA synthetases). tRNAs cope with the degeneracy of the genetic code in two manners: having more than one tRNA (with a specific anti-codon) for a particular amino acid; and 'wobble' base-pairing, i.e. permitting non-standard base-pairing at the 3rd anti-codon position. The record is from RNAcentral. Lineage: Bacteria; Pseudomonadati; Pseudomonadota; Gammaproteobacteria; Enterobacterales; Enterobacteriaceae.
GGCUCUGUAGUUCAAUGGUAGAACGAUGAAUUCACAACAACUUGUCGCCAACCUUAACGAAUUUCGGCGAAUGCCGGCGGAUCUACAUGGGACAGUAAGGUUGCAGGUGCAAAUCCUGCCGGAGCCA